UAGAGUUUGAUCCUGGCUCAGAUUGAACGCUGGCGGCAGGCCUAACACAUGCAAGUCGAGCGGAUGAAGGGAGCUUGCUCCCUGAUUUAGCGGCGGACGGGUGAGUAAUGCCUAGGAAUCUGCCUGGUAGUGGGGGAUAACGUCCGGAAACGGGCGCUAAUACCGCAUACGUCCUACGGGAGAAAGCAGGGGACCUUCGGGCCUUGCGCUAAUAGAUGAGCCUAAGUCGGAUUAGCUAGUUGGUGGGGUAAAGGCCUACCAAGGCGACGAUCUGUAGCGGGUCUGAGAGGAUGAUCCGCCACACUGGGACUGAGACACGGCCCAGACUCCUACGGGAGGCAGCAGUGGGGAAUAUUGGACAAUGGGGGGAACCCUGAUCCAGCCAUGCCGCGUGUGUGAAGAAGGCCUUUUGGUUGUAAAGCACUUUAAGCGAGGAGGAGGCUACUAGUAUUAAUACUACUGGAUAGUGGACGUUACUCGCAGAAUAAGCACCGGCUAACUCUGUGCCAGCAGCCGCGGUAAUACAGAGGGUGCGAGCGUUAAUCGGAUUUACUGGGCGUAAAGCGUGCGUAGGCGGCUGAUUAAGUCGGAUGUGAAAUCCCUGAGCUUGACUUAGGAAUUGCAUUCGAUACUGGUCAGCUAGAGUAUGGGAGAGGAUGGUAGAAUUCCAGGUGUAGCGGUGAAAUGCGUAGAGAUCUGGAGGAAUACCGAUGGCGAAGGCAGCCAUCUGGCCUAAUACUGACGCUGAGGUACGAAAGCAUGGGGAGCAAACAGGAUUAGAUACCCUGGUAGUCCAUGCCGUAAACGAUGUCUACUAGCCGUUGGGGCCUUUGAGGCUUUAGUGGCGCAGCUAACGCGAUAAGUAGACCGCCUGGGGAGUACGGUCGCAAGACUAAAACUCAA
Molecule: ribosomal RNA, 903 nt
Filed under: uncultured bacterium
Lineage: Bacteria
Description: bacterial SSU rRNA
Rfam family: Bacterial small subunit ribosomal RNA
Source: RNAcentral